Molecule: long non-coding RNA, 1231 nt
Organism: Salvia splendens (bonfire salvia)
Lineage: Eukaryota; Viridiplantae; Streptophyta; Magnoliopsida; Lamiales; Lamiaceae
Exons: 4
Source: RefSeq, a predicted model, not a curated record
CCGGAGCGGAUCACCUACUUACCAGCAUAAAUUUCUCAAGUAAUUGGAUAUUAAUUCACCAACGCGGAAGGAUCGAAGCUCAAUCGCCUACGGCUUCGUCACGUCCUUCGCGCCGGAAAAAUUCGAUUAACGAGCUACACUAUGAAAAAACCUGAGCAUAGAGAUCUGUCGUCUCAAUGGAAUAGAUUAUGUUAGCCACCAUAUGAUGAAGCUAUGUUUCACUCGUCUCCUGGGGUAGUGCUGCAUGUGCCAGAAACAUCUCAUCCUUUUCUGAUGCAAGCAUUUUGAUGUGCUUCUUAUUUUUUAAUACUCCUACUUGUGAAGUUCACUUAUGCCAAUAGAUAGCUGGAGUUCAUUACUGGAAGCAUGGAAAGAAAGGUUCGGCUGUGUUCUAGAAGAUGAAGUUCGUUUGAACCGAAUUGCCAAGCAUUUGUUUAUUUUGUUGGAAAAUCAGUUUCCGAUCAAGGAACAGGGGUUUCAGGCAAUUCCUUCAGCAAUUUCAAGACAGAAUCACAACUGACGAUGCUAGAAAAGCUGCAUAAGCCUCAAAUCUAUAUGGUGAUGCAUUACUGUUGUGAUAUUAUCUAUGUAACAAAGUGUCCACAUACUGGUGCAUAUCUUCAUGAGUCGCAUUCAUUUUAAUGCUACACGAAGGGAGGCUUACAUGCACGUGGUUUGACUAUCUCAUUUUUCAGACAGUUUUAGCUAAACAAAAAACUAAGCAUCUUUUUUCAAGGUAUAACCUAAGUGAUCCCUGGUUCCAUAUUUGUACCGCUCAUGAGAAACCCUUCUACACCUCGACAGUUUUUGCUGCAUCUGCUAUACGACUCAUUGAGAUUGCUGAACUGGAAGGAUCGUCCCUUGCUCAACGUUUUUCAGACGAACCUUUUGUUGAAUAAGUUGCAACAGUUGUCGCUUGCACGACUUCUUCCAGAUUACAUUUACGCUAACUUUCCAACGGAAGCCUUCAAUUCUGUCCAGCUGGCCCUUGCAGCCAAUCUUGGCCGCGCCAUCCUUGAAGGGUAGGAGUGCAGCUUGUUACUGAUUUUUUGUGAUAUUAGUUUGUGUUUUCACCUGUGUGGGAACUUUCCAACUUUGAUUUUAGGUUUAUACAUCAGAGUUCAGACCGAAUUUGUUGUUGAUUAUAUGGAUUUUUAAUUUAUUGUAAUUACAAAUUAUCAAUAUGCUUGAACGAUUGAAUCUAUAAAUUUUUUUUGUCAUAUUUCAUUCA